CCUACGGGAGACAGCAGUGAGGAAUAUUGGUCAAUGGACGAGAGUCUGAACCAGCCAAGUCGCGUGAAGGAUGACUGCCCUAUGGGUUGUAAACUUCUUUUAUAUGGGACUAAAAUGUUCCACGUGUGGGAUUUUGUAUGUACCAUAUGAAUAAGGAUCGGCUAACUCCGUGCCAGCAGCCGCGGUAAUACGGAGGAUCCGAGCGUUAUCCGGAUUUAUUGGGUUUAAAGGGAGCGUAGGUGGGUUGUUAAGUCAGUUGUGAAAGUUUGCGGCUCAACCGUAAAAUUGCAGUUGAAACUGGCAGUCUUGAGUACAGUAGAGGUGGGCGGAAUUCGUGGUGUAGCGGUGAAAUGCUUAGAUAUCACGAAGAACUCCGAUUGCGAAGGCAGUUCACUGGACUGCAACUGACACUGAGGCUCGAAAGUGUGGGUAUCAAACAGGAUUAGAUACCCCAGUAGUC
This 460-nucleotide ribosomal RNA is filed under the name uncultured bacterium. RNAcentral describes it as "partial 16S ribosomal RNA". It matches the Rfam family "Bacterial small subunit ribosomal RNA", at positions 338 to 795 of the family's 1533-position model. The record is from RNAcentral.